This is a long non-coding RNA of Quercus robur (English oak), 1049 nucleotides long. RefSeq lists it as uncharacterized. Lineage: Eukaryota; Viridiplantae; Streptophyta; Magnoliopsida; Fagales; Fagaceae. The record is from RefSeq and is a predicted model, not a curated record. The transcript has 7 exons.
UCUCUUCUCUUCUGGAACUCUCCGUAGUCCAUAUAUGUUCUCUCUCUAGAACUCUCUGUCUCUUCUCUCUCUCUUAUCUUCUUCUCCUUUCUAAUAAACGUAUUUUUUUCUUUUUUCUUUACCUCCCAAACCACCGAUCUGUACUGUGAUUCAACUCCUUCACAACCCAGCCUUAGCACCGAUCUCUCUCUACGAAUCCAGAUCAACAAAAAAAUUUGAAACCCAAGAACAUUUGCAGCCGAUCUGCAUGAGAGAAGAGCCAGAAAAAAAAAAUGGAGCUCAAGCCCGUAUAUGUUCUUUCUCUCUGGAACUCUCUGUAUCUCUUCUCUCUCUCUUUUCUCUCUAUCAUUUCAAGACGACAGGACCAGAUCGGCCCAGGAAGAAAGAAAAAAAAAAAAAAAACAUGGGAAGAAACACCGAGUAAUUUUUACAGUGUUCUUUCUGUGGAGUAGGAUUAUAAUGCCUUUUGGGUUGUUGGAGGUAAGGAGAUUAGAGGCUCUAUCUUUGAUUUGAAGGGGCCCUGUGGUUUACCCCGAGCCUUGGUGAGUCGGGGUAUUGGCUAAAAAUCCACUGAGGUCCUUGAGAUGGCACGAGUCAUCAAGUAGAGGUUUGUGAUUCCAAGGCUGCAGAGCAAGAGAUUGUUCUUGAGAAGUUCGAUGUUUUAAGGGAUUGAAGACCAACAUUACCAAAGAGCUCAAUGCCAGGCACAAAAGCUAGCGAUUAUGGACUGUGGCUAUGAUUUGUUGAGCUUCUUUGAGUUGUGAAACUGAAGCUCUCUCUCUUUCCAAAGAGUACCGAUCACACAUGCAGCAGAACAACAUCCUGAUGAGGUCAGAUUUUCAAGGUUCGAGGACAUGAAAGCAAAUGUCCAUAAGGCAUUUGAUGAAGAGCUUCUAUUAUAGCAUAUGACAACAUUAAUUGCGAAAAAUUAAAUAUUGUUACAAUGUUGUAGCAAAUACUCGGUUGUUGUUUAUUGUUAAAGGAUGAUAUUUGUAACUUGUAAGCAUUCUUAGAAGUUUUUAUUGAAUGGAUAUUGCUUUUAACAAAUA